Alexandromys fortis (reed vole) is the source of this 3609-nucleotide RNA transcript. RefSeq lists it as uncharacterized. NCBI's taxonomy places the organism in Eukaryota, Metazoa, Chordata, Mammalia, Rodentia, Cricetidae. The record is from RefSeq and is a predicted model, not a curated record. The transcript is spliced from 3 exons.
CCUUAACGUCUCAAAACAAACAAACAAUAAAUAAGUAAGUGAAAGGUGACUUUAUGUCUGUGUGCGCAUGGUGGGUGGCUGGGUCAGGUUCUCAUGUAGCUCAGGCUUGCUUUGGACUUGUUAUGUAGUGUGGGUUGGUUUUGAAUUGCUUCCUCCCCUUCUCAAAUCUGGUCUCACAGGCGUGUAAAAGGGUGAUUCUUUCUUUUUAUCUUUUUUUUAUAAGUAAAUGUAAUUUUAUUUAUUUAUUAUUUAUUUUUAUUUUAUGUGCAUUGGUGUUUUGCCUGCAUGUAUGUCUAUGUGAGGCUGUCAAAUCACUUGGAGCUGGAUUGCAGACAGUUUUGAGCUGCCAUGACCUGGGAAUUGAAUCAGGUCUUCUGAGCAGUCAGUGCUCUUAACCUCUGAGCUAUCUCUCUAGCCCUAAAAUUUGCUUUUUGGCCCCCUUUUAUUAUUGUAUUUUAUGUACAUGUUUUGCCUACUUGUAUGUCUGUGCACCAUGUAUAUGCCUGGUGCCUGUGGAGGCCAGAAAAGGGCAUCUGAUCCCCUGGAACUGGAGUAACAGAUGGUUGUGAACCACCAUGUAGUUGCUGGGAAUUGAACCCUGGUCCUCUGAAAAAGCAGCCAGUGCUCUUAACCACUGAACAAUCACUCCAGCCCUAAAAGGGUGACUCUUUUUGAUUGUUUGUCUUUGAGACAGGAUCUCAUGAUGUAGCCCUGGCUGUCCUGGAACUGGCUAUGUGGACCCUGCUGGCCUUGAACUCACAAUGAUCCUCCUGCCUCUGCCUUCCUAGUGCUGAGAGUAAUGGUGUAUGCUAGCAUACCUGUCUGAAAGGGUAACUUUUAAAAAACAAAGUGAAGUACUUCUGAGUUUCAUUCUUCUCCUCCUCUUUUUCCUCCUCUUCUUCCUCCCCUUUCUUCCCUGAGCAGCCCUGGAAUCAGCUCUGUAGACCAGGCUGCCUCUGCUUCUCAAGUGCUCAGAUUAAAGGUGCGCACCACCAAUGCCUGGCUCUUCUCUACUUCCUAAAGUCCACCAGUCCCCAUCUUUCCUUCUUGUCUGCCCAACCUUCUUUGUUAGUUCUGGUUGGAUUUUGUCCACCGAGUCAAAGUUAUCACCUGAAAGAAGACAGCCAGGCAACAAAUCCAAGCAGAGAGACAGAGAGGAAGAAGACAGAGGUGAGGAGACGCCAGCAGCUGCUGGAGGAGGAAGAUGCCAGAGCAUUUCCGGGACAUACAUGUAGCAGCAGCAGCAGCAGCAGCAGCAGCAGCAGCAGCAGCAGCAGCAGCAGCAGCAGCAGCAGCAGCAGCAAGAAGAAGAAGAAGAAGAAGAAGAAGAAGAAGAAGAAGAAGAAGAAGAAGAAGAACAACAACAACAACAACAACAACAACUACUUAGGCUUUUCUCGACAAUGAGCAAUGAGACACAUCUGCUCCUGGCAGCACCAAUUACUUCAAGGGGAUGAUGGGCAUCAAAGAAGCAUCUUUUUUUUGUUGUUGUUGUUGUUUUUGUUUUUUGUUUUUUUUUUGUUUUUUCGAGACAGGGUUUCUCUGUGGUUUUGGAGCCUGUUCUGGAACUAGCUCUUGUAGACCAGGCUGGUCUCUUAAAGAAGCAUCUUAUGGAGCUUUCUUUCUUUCCUUCUUUCUUUCUUUUCCCUUUUUUUUGUUUUGUUUUUUUGAGACAGGGUUUCUCUGUAGCUUUGGAGCCUAUCCUGAAACUUACUCUGUAGACCAGGCUGGCCUCAAACUCAGAGAUCCAACUGUCUCUGCCUCCCAAGUGCUAGAAUUAAAGGUGUGUACCACCAUAUCCUGGCUUGGAGUUUGUUUUCAAUGUGGCAAGGCUAGCCAUUUGAGCAAGAAACUGCUCUUGCCUGGACUGCUUGACAAUAUGCUGUGUAAACUAGACAUGCAGGACCCACAGGAACAUGACUGCUGAACUUGCCAAAAGCAAGGCAGGACAGUCCUUCAGAUUUCCUGCUUUACUGAGAAAUCUGCCAGAUACUCUAGGCCUACAGGCGGAAGAUAGAUACUCCAGUGUUACAGAAGAACUUUGGGUGACUGUCCAGACAACCAGAUAUAGUGAUAUUUUUAUUUAUUUAUUUUUUUAUUAUUUAUGUUUUAAUAAAUAAAGCUUGCCUAAAGAUCUAGAGGUCAGGUAGAGGUGGCACACACUUUUAAUCCCAGGAUUUGGGAGACAGAGGCAGAUGGAUCUCUGUGAUGUAAAGGCUACUCUGGGUUACACAAGAUCAAUGCUGAAACAAAUCCAGAUGGUGGUGGCUCACACUUUUCAUUCUAGUACUAGGGAGUCACACCUUCAAUCCCAGAACUAGAGGGAAUAUAAAAUGGGAAGAGAAAGAGGUUCGGUCUGUUUAGUCUGCUUAGACUGCUUAAUCUGGUUAGUCACCUAGUCUUGGUAGAGGUAAGACUUCUCUAGUGGCUGACUGCUUUGCUUUUCUGAUUUCAAGUUGAACCCCAAUUUCUGUCUCUGGCUAGCUCAAAACACUUUAUCCAGAUGUAGCACUUUUAUCCAGAUGUCAGCAUACUGGCAUGCUCCAGUACUUGGGAGGUUCAGACAGAAGGAUGUGAGCUGCUGGCUCCCCCCAUCCAUAUGGCGAGACCCUGCCUCAACCAUCCCUCCCACCGAAACUCCCAAACAAAUAAAAACAAAAGUUUUGUGAAGAUACACCACAAAAACGACUCUAAUAUAAAGUUAGUGGGUUUUUUUAAUUUUAUUUAUUUAUUUACUUUUGGUCACGACCAUUGCCCAGCCGUUGUCACUACUUACCAUUUUCUUUUCGUGCAUGCUAGGCAAAGGCUCUACAGCUGAGCUACCUCCUGCCAGGGACAUGUUUAUUACCAGGAAGAGAAAACCUGUAUCCACUAACAGUCCUGCCAACCAGCCUGCAGGUUCCGAUCUCACAUCUUUACUUUAAUGUUUAUGCUAGGCAAGCACUUUCUUGGUGUGCUAUGUCCCCAGCCCUUGGGUUUUGAAUCAGGGUCUUACUAAGUAGGUAGGGCUGGCCUUUAACUCUAAAUCUUCCUGCUUCUACCUCCUGAGUGCUGGGAUUAAAGGUUUGAGCCAUUGUCUAACUCAAGAGUGCUUCCUCUUCCUUUUGCCCCUACCCAGCCCCCAUCUUCAGCUUCUUUUUCUUCAGUUUUAUAUCUGGUACUUGGGUUGGGUUAUUGUGCCUUAGAUGUCUCCAUAUAUAAAAUAGAUACUACGCCCAUGCCUAUUGUCCUGAGGAAUAGAUAAAUCAUAGGCAUAGAAUAUUACAGAUUACAUUCUGCGAUUAUCCAGACAUUAGAUAUUACCUCCUGGCCUCAAACUCACUACGUAAUUGAGAAUGACCUUGAAUGUCCGUGAUCUGGAUCCCACUACCUCCACCUCUGAAGUGCUGUGAUUAUAGGCUUGCACUGCUACACCUGGCUUUUAUUUUUACUUCCUGCUAUUUUAAAUACUUAGGUAUUGCUAUGUUGACCAGGCCACCAUUGAGCUUCUGGGUUUUAGCAAUACUAUGUGUCUAUAAUAUUGUAUAAUGUGUAUAGUGUGUCCACAGCCUUCUUAAUAAUUAAGCUACUAAGCCUGCUUUCCAGUUAUAUCUCCUUCCUCCCUCCCUC